CUGCCUGCCAUGACAGCUGUGUAGGUGCCAGCCAGACACACUAACAGAGAGCCAGCUGACUUCCAGUGUAAAUCAGGCUGGCAGGCACGUUUCCCCCUGAAAACCAGCCUGUGCUUCACCAGAAAUUCAUUGACACCGACACAUUCCUGCAGAACAUGUUGGGCCACCAGGCAGGAUCUCCUCCCUACGUGCCAUCUGUAAAUGGGACUAGCUUUUACAGUAGUGGGAUGGCAGCAAGAGGUGCACCUUGUGGGCUGUUCAAACCUCAAAACUGGAGCAGAAAAUACAAGAGAAGAAAAGGUGAAGGCUUGCUACGGUGGAAAGGAGAACUCAGUACCUGCAGGCUCCCGUGGCCCUUGCAAGUGGAUGCAAGUAUAUAUGAGCUGAGGAUCUGGAUCUCAUACUUCAAAUAGGACGCAGACACUGGAUAAGCACAACUGAAGAUGACCAUCAUGCAAUAAAUGUUUCAGUGUCCCCUCA
This is a long non-coding RNA of Apus apus (common swift), 480 nucleotides long. RefSeq lists it as uncharacterized. NCBI's taxonomy places the organism in Eukaryota, Metazoa, Chordata, Aves, Apodiformes, Apodidae. The transcript has 3 exons. The record is from RefSeq and is a predicted model, not a curated record.